RNAcentral lists this ribosomal RNA (497 nucleotides) under uncultured bacterium. Its description in RNAcentral is "partial 16S ribosomal RNA". It matches the Rfam family "Bacterial small subunit ribosomal RNA", at positions 28 to 507 of the family's 1533-position model. The record is from RNAcentral.
GAUGAACGCUGGCGGCGUGCCUAAUACAUGCAAGUCGAGCGAACAGACGAGGAGCUUGCUCCUCUGACGUUAGCGGCGGACGGGUGAGUAACACGUGGAUAACCUACCUAUAAGACUGGGAUAACUUCGGGAAACCGGAGCUAAUACCGGAUAAUAUAUUGAACCGCAUGGUUCAAUAGUGAAAGACGGUUUUGCUGUCACUUAUAGAUGGAUCCGCGCCGCAUUAGCUAGUUGGUAAGGUAACGGCUUACCAAGGCGACGAUGCGUAGCCGACCUGAGAGGGUGAUCGGCCACACUGGAACUGAGACACGGUCCAGACUCCUACGGGAGGCAGCAGUAGGGAAUCUUCCGCAAUGGGCGAAAGCCUGACGGAGCAACGCCGCGUGAGUGAUGAAGGUCUUCGGAUCGUAAAACUCUGUUAUUAGGGAAGAACAAAUGUGUAAGUAGCUAUGCACGUCUUGAUGGUACCUAAUCAGAAAGCCACGGCUAACUACGUG